Molecule: ribosomal RNA, 813 nt
Filed under: uncultured Actinomycetes bacterium
Lineage: Bacteria; Bacillati; Actinomycetota; Actinomycetes
Description: bacterial SSU rRNA
Rfam family: Bacterial small subunit ribosomal RNA
Source: RNAcentral
AAUCCUAACGGAGGGAGCAGGGGGGAAUAUUGGACAAUGGGCGAAAGCCUGAAGCCUGGACCCCCGGUGGGGGAUGACGGCCUUCCGGUUGGAAACCCCUUUCCAUAAGGAAAAAACGAAAAUGGAGGGACCUGGCAAAAAAACGCCCGCUAACUACCUGCCCACAGCCCCGGUAAUACGUAAGGCGCAAGCGGUGGCCGGAAUUAUUGGGCGUAAAGAACUUGUAAGUGGCUUGGCGCGGCUGGCGUGAAAACCCGAAGCUCCACCCUCGGCGGGGCGUGGGUACCGGCAAGCUUAAGUGUGGGAAGGGAAAAUGGAACUUCUGGUGUAACGGUGAAAUGCGCAAAUAAUCGGAAUAACCCCCAAUGCGAAGGAAGUCUCUGGGCCCUUACUGACUCUGAAAAGCUGAAAGCAUGGGUAAUGAACAAGGAAUAAAUAACCUGGUAAGCCCAUGGCGGCAAACGGUGGGCACUACGUGUGGAGGGGACAUUCCCACGUUUUCCGCGCUCGUAACUCACGGCAUAAGUGGCUCCGCCCUGGCGAGUACGGACGCCAGGCUAAACUCAAAAGGAAUUGACGAGUGGACCGCAUCAAGCGGCGGAGCAUGCUGAUUACUUCGAUGCUACGCGAGAGCUUAACCAACGCUUGACAUGCACUGACGGCUGCACAGAUGAGCUUUCUUUGACUGUGCACAGGUGUGCAUGAUGUCGAUCAGCUCGCGUCCGUGACAUGUGGUAAGUCGCACGAGCGCAACCUCGUCAUCGGUGCAGCACGUGAUGUGGGACUCUAGGAAACUGGCGAGUCACUCGAGAA